CGUCACUCGAAAACUUCGAGAAGGCGAGCGUAUUCAGCUGGAAAUGGCAACAGCUGUUGAGAGUCCCAAGAAAACAUUGGAGAACUGAACUAGAAGAGUUUCCAACAAAGAACUUUUGAAGAGGCUUCCAUCGUGAAAGCACAAGAAAAUAUGAAGAACGAAAACAUUUGACACGAACAAGGACAAAAGAAAUAGAAGACGGGAGCUGUAGCAGCAGCGAUGGCUCUGAUGACGGUGGGCAACCAACUGAUCAGCUGACAUUAUUUUACGUAACGGGCCUCAAAUGAAGAACAACUAUUGCCAUACUGCCACGGCGGACCCGAAUUACGCUGCUGCUGCGACGCAAACGGUACUGGACUGGAAAUGCUCGUUGCCAUCUCAACAACGUUAAUCUGAGACGUUAAUGCUGAACAUUGCUGAUAAUCACCAGCACCAAUAGUGGUGACGGCGGCUAGCUCGUCGCAACUCCGUCGAUCGUUAGUCGAUCCAUCGGUGGUAACGGUAAGAAGAAGAAUCAAAGAAGGUCCUAUAGCUUCGAUAGACAAAAUAGGCCGACAGAUUAACAGACACCUCGGAAUGACGACUGAGCAUUGAUUAGACGGGAAAAUAGACAGGUGACAAGUCUCACCCCCAGACCCCUACAAGUAGCCAUCACUACGGUCACAAAGAACCAAUUACGAACAGAAUCCAACAUAAGUAAAAAUUGUUGUUGAUGUUGUUGUUAUUGUUGCUGCUGCUGCGAAUAGUCAACUAUCACAAUUGCCAUCAAUAGCUUUGCAUCCCUCGCGACUAAAAUAGUACGUGUCCUUGCCACGCAUACUGACGUAUUGAGUAAGUUAAAAUAUUAUUUGUGGAAGGGGGGGGGGGGGGGGGGAGGGUCGCUGUUUGCCCAGCGUGUAGUAGAUAUAAUGCCUCUUCCCAUGAGGUGCGCACAUAGAUGAGCCGCGAUGCUGAUGAUUUUCGAAUGUCAAUUUAGAAAUCCAUCUGUCAAUAGAGUGAACAAUAAUGCCGUGAUCGCUAUAGCCUAGCAAACGAAUCUGCUGAAAAGAACAAUGGAUUUACAAUUUUUACAGACCACCAAAGAAUCAAUUUUUACUUUUAUUCAAAUAAGACUGCGUUACUGCAAAUUAAUGGGUGUCCAUUGAAAGACGGGUUUAGUGCUGAAAUUUCGAUUAGGAGUGGAUUAUUCGUGGCUCUAAUGAAUUUAUCGUUUACGUAGAAGGCCUCACAGCUGGGGUAUUGAGCUAGAAAUUAUACACUAGGCCCACUUGUAAUUCUAACAUAUAUGCAUAAAAUGAGUACCACUUAUGCAUGAUAAAAAUCUCCAGUACAUAUUCAUCAAUGGACGUUACACCUGAAAUGCAUCGAGUCUUAUCUGUUUAUAUGUACAUGUAAUAAAUCGUACGUUACUAAACGCGAUCCCUUAUAAUCAUAUUCAUCGUCUAGCCGUUAUAGUCGGUACAACAGUUUUGAUGCUCUAACACAGUUUUCCCGUCGCCCAAGUGGCAUUCGUUUCCAGAAGCCCUUACUUAAUCAAGCGUAAUUGCCGUCAAGCUGCAUGAUUCAAUCUGCUUUACUUCAAGUCCACUUCACUACUCAAUCAAGGCUUGGCAAAGCGCGUUCUUCCAUGAGCAAUAUGUGAUUUCCCGCAAUUCGAGCCAGUUGAAUACUGAACGGUGUUGCCCAGGGCUGAGACACAGCAUCGGGAUAAGAUCCUCGACCAGGUGCGUUCACGACAGAGUGCGGCGUUCCUUCUCAUGGAAAUCGCAUGCUAUAUAUGAGUAAACUUCCUAAACGAACAGUCCCCCGGAUGAGUAUACCCAUUAAACUACCACAGAGCUAGUAAGCAUAUCUAAAGCUGAUGUAAUCUAUGUUUAUGCUGAACCCAUAUUUAAAUUGAUUGUGCUCCCACUAGGCUCAUUUCGUUCGAGAUAGCUUGUCUUUUUUAAAAAAAUGUCUAAUAUUAUACAUAAGCAUUUAUAUCUACAUAGCGUUAGCUUGAUUGAUACCAAUUACAAUUUUGGUUCAUUGAGUGACAGCUUAAACAAAUACUUGGCGAAUUCUCUUUGAACAUUGGCAUUCGCGAUAGAUUAACAGAUCUUCUUAAGAAAGCUAUAGUGUAUUGCCGAUCCAACUUUCUCUUAAGAAUUGCUUUUUCCAAGAGUAGUCUUCAAGAUAUCUUUCUGCUUUAUUUCAAUUCGACCUAUAGGUAUUAUCCACAGCUUGAAACUAGUGUCUUCCCAAGCAGACCGUCGAUAAUAACAACGCGACAUCAUUUUCUAGAUCACAAUAAACCUUUAUUGAGAAGAAGAAGAAGCAUUAGAUAAUAAUAACGAUAAAAAUUAAAACUGACACCGCUAGAAUAAAAUAUCAGCAGUAAUUAUACUUAAAAUGAAUUUCCAUGAAACGCAGACCUACGUAGUUGCAUACAUUUGGACCAGGUUUCAACGAAAAAUUUGAAAUCUAUUUAAUUGCUGUCUUGACACCACGAAACGCAAAACUUACAAGGAAACUUUUUAUUUAAAUGCGAUGAAAGCAGUACGACGAGAAACUUAAAUUUCCCACGUAAUUCCGAUUUGAUUAAAUGUACUUAUUAGAACAUAAAUUCUAACAAAGUUCAAGUACAAAUAUCAACUAAAGUUGUAAAUAACCACUUACAUUUUACACAGAAUGGACGUAAUACAAAUAGUAAUGCAAACACUUUUCUCUAACGCGUACGUCAAUGAAUCUUAUAUGCUUAUAUAAUCUUACUGUGCGCUAGCACCCGGUGCCCAUUAAGGACCAACAGAAUCACCGCUCUGUGAUGUCAUGGCCACAGGAGCGGCAAAGGCAGGAGUUAAGACAAUUGACCUAUUCAGCCGCCAGCAACCAUGCACGUUUCCAACUAGCGCUACAUCAACAAAAUAAUAACGCCAACGAAAAGCAGUAUCAUUGAUGAUCACAGCGGGGGGUGAUGGCUCUUUUUCAGUAACCUGAAAUACUACUAAUUCAAUUCUCUGCCAGCCAUCAAUGGUGAAUCACUUAUAAACAACAAAUACAUUUAUAGAAACAUAUUAUGUCGGCCGAUGAAACAGCUUUGACCGAGUUGGGUGAAUCCAAACAACAGAUAAAAUUCAAGGUUUAUGUUCAAUUGACAGUCGUAGUAUUCCGAUCGUGUGUUAUCAUCCACCCAAAUAAAAAGUCUUUAGCUACAAUAAUUUCACCGAGAUGCCGGACACACGAAACGGUGGAAAUCGAACAGGAUCUAGAUCUCAUUAUCAGCAUAUGCAAAAUAAACACAGAUUUGUGUAUAUUUUCGUUGGAUCCUUUUUGUUAUUACUCGACUGUUUCCGCUUUCACUUGCCAAGCAUAACAGUCUGGACGCAUCUUGCUGUUACCAGUUGCUGACUAGCUCAGCCUCUGUGUCAUUCACAGAUAUUGAUCGUGAGUUCGACCAUGACAACAAGCACUAGCUACUAAGAUGACACGCAAAAUACAUUAUACAGGCGGCACAUACGGUGGAUACCAUAGACAGAGGAAAGAAAAAAGAAAGUGUUAUAACGUAACUUUACUGUCAUUAUUUAUGACAAAAUCAUUAAAGAAACACAUAAUAGUUUUAUUGUAUCAUCUGAUUUCGUUGUCGGCGAUGCGAUCAGAUGCAAGCUUCUAAACACUGGCAUCUAAUUGCAUCAUGUCAUGACAUAACAUGAAUUGCGGAAUGAGUGUAUCUCUCUGGAUACGAUACGUUGCCGGGACUGCUUUUUCGAUGACGCCUUGGUUCAUGUGCUUCUUAUUCACCCCCUAGAGCCUUGCCACUUCGUCACUGGCUUCUAUAGAGACUUGACCAGAUCAAAGCUUUCUUCAAAGUGUUCUUUGCCAUUCGUUAUUUGUGCACCCCUAUUUGCACGUCUACAGUUUGCUACGUCACUAACCGUCAAAAAAGAAAUUCGAGCUAUUGCAAAUGCGGGAAGAAUCACCCGCAUCAAUAUGAAAUAUUGGUGCAUUCGUCAAACAAUUAUAAUAGCAGUAUAUAGGGAAUCGAAAGUCAAAGUGAGGUUCUCAGUAUUUGCAUUCGUAUAGGACGUCACUGAAUAGUAUCAAAGACCUGUCACGCGCAGAACAUGCGAAAUAAUUUGUGUGGAUAAAGCAAAGCAUUAUUUACAAUGGCUAAUGAUUGUUAGCGUACCCUAUAUAUCGAGAUCCAACACUGCUAUCGAUGUUACGCUACGUAUCGUAGCGUCACGCACAUAACAUAAUUCGAUAGUUAACUUACGUGGUCUGUGAAUUAAUUCUAGUUAGAACAAUUUCCUACCGUGUGGCAUAUCGCGCUACAGGGAUAAUGGUAAGUCUUCUAUUCACUCCAAUCGCUUAGUAACGAAUAAAGCUAAGGAACCUAAAAAAGAAUAUUCCAUUUUCCAACUUAGACUAGCGCCAUAGACUAGCGCAGAAUGUUUAGUACAAUCGAAGAAGACGUAGUGCAAAAAAUCGACCAUAGCUUGCAAACAAAGAUGU
Non-coding RNA from Varroa destructor (honeybee mite), 4491 nucleotides. The record is from RefSeq and is a predicted model, not a curated record. Lineage: Eukaryota; Metazoa; Arthropoda; Arachnida; Mesostigmata; Varroidae.